This is a long non-coding RNA of Callorhinchus milii (elephant shark), 315 nucleotides long. RefSeq lists it as uncharacterized. The transcript is spliced from 4 exons. The record is from RefSeq and is a predicted model, not a curated record. Lineage: Eukaryota; Metazoa; Chordata; Chondrichthyes; Chimaeriformes; Callorhinchidae.
GGUCUAACUUGGUGGAGCCAUUGUUUUGUAGACUACACAGGCGCAGUGCAAGUGCCUGCAGGAUGGGAAACCCAAAGCGAUCUUGCUUCAUUGCUUUGUACAAAUAUAUUAUUGUGCUCAACCUCAUUCUCCUUUGUGCCCAAGUAACUGAUGGCAAGGGAAAAGAUGAUGGAGAGAAAGACAGAUCAAAUGGCAAGUUAAAAAAAACGGAGAACGAUUCUAAGAAAAAAGAUAAGUCUGAAGGAAAGGCAUGCGACACGAAGCCAAGGGUUUGUUUGAAGGGAGAGGAGGACCGAAAAAAAAAAGAUUGUUUCA